ACAUUCAGGCGGCGACCAAUCCCUGGCCGCCCUGGUGUGCGCCCUGCACCGUGGGCCUUUUCCCAGCUGGCCGGUGGGGGAGCAGCCACUGUGGGUCUCUGAGCCUUGGUGGGACGGUCAAGGUUGGACCUGUGAUGGAGACCAGCGUGCGGCCGUGUCGUGAGGGAAGGAGGAACACAGGCUGAGACAGAGGGACCUCUUUACUGUCCCCUCGGCCAAGCCAUGGAACACAACCCUCUCCCCCCAGCCCCCAGCGGCCACCUGGAGACCACCCCGGGCUGGAGCCCAGCACAACCACCAUCAAGUCUCAACCGUCCAGCUUGGGACAGCCUAUUCCCUGCCCACCUGGCUUCCCAGAAGACGGGGAGCCGAGCCUGGCCCCUCCCGGAGGCUCCCUGGUCCAGGGGUGCCCCUCUGUGCAGACGAGCUCCCGCUGGACGAGUGAGCGGCUGCCUGGCCGGCCCGCAGCCGGACUGGCCUUUGGGGUGCCCUCUGGGCCAGCCCCACAGAGAGGGGCGACGGGGCUGUUACCCCCUGGACGGGAGGAUGAAGCCCGAGAGGGGCCGUGGCCCAGCGAGCUGGGUCCACCCUGGACGGACGGACGGACGGGGCUAGGACCUCCUCACGCCCAGUGCCAGAUGCCACCAGUCAACCGGUGGUCCUGGGGAUGAAAGGAGAUGAGCGACCCGCCCUGGGCUUCUAGAAGGAUCCUCCAUUUCUCUUCUGAGGCCGGGGCGGCGGACGGUGCCGACGCAGCCCCUUGCUAAGGAAUUCACCUGGUACUUUCACAAAGAAAGCCCUGGAGCCUCCGGGGAAGAGAGGGCCAUCUGAUUGCGGAAAAGUACAGGAAAGCAGAAAAACGUCAUAAAAGUGGAGAAACCCUGCAGCCCCCGGGCCAUUGUCUGCACAGGCGCUCCCGCUGGGCCCCGCGGCGGCCGCCAUUCAUUCCUGUGCGCUGUGUAAACACCAGGCUUCGCGGGCAGGUCAACGCUCUGUUUGUUGUGUGGGCCAUUGAGGCCCUCGCUGCAGCUCGGACUCGGGGCCAAAGAGAUGUUUAUCAGGUUGUCAGAGGAGGGAAAAAUGUGGGUCUCCCACCCGGUGGGACCGGCUUUUCU
Long non-coding RNA from Molossus molossus (Pallas's mastiff bat), 1115 nucleotides. RefSeq lists it as uncharacterized. NCBI's taxonomy places the organism in Eukaryota, Metazoa, Chordata, Mammalia, Chiroptera, Molossidae. The record is from RefSeq and is a predicted model, not a curated record. The transcript has 4 exons.